This 72-nucleotide transfer RNA is filed under the name Heterocephalus glaber (naked mole-rat). It matches the Rfam family "tRNA". Rfam says of the family: Transfer RNA (tRNA) molecules are approximately 80 nucleotides in length. The record is from Rfam by way of RNAcentral. Lineage: Eukaryota; Metazoa; Chordata; Mammalia; Rodentia; Bathyergidae.
GGGAUUGUGGCUUGGUGGUAGAGUGCUUGCCUAGCGUGCACAAGGUCCUGGGUUCAAUCCCCAGCAAUGCAU